RNAcentral lists this ribosomal RNA (253 nucleotides) under uncultured bacterium. RNAcentral's name for it is "partial 16S ribosomal RNA". It matches the Rfam family "Bacterial small subunit ribosomal RNA", at positions 524 to 776 of the family's 1533-position model. The record is from RNAcentral.
UACGUAGGGUGCGAGCGUUAAUCGGAAUUACUGGGCGUAAAGCGUGCGCAGGCGGUUUUGUAAGUCAGAUGUGAAAUCCCCGGGCUUAACCUGGGAACUGCGUUUGAAACUACAAGGCUAGAGUGUGGCAGAGGGGGGUGGAAUUCCACGUGUAGCAGUGAAAUGCGUAGAGAUGUGGAGGAACACCGAUGGCGAAGGCAGGUCUCUGGGCUGAUACUGACGCUCAUGCACGAAAGCGUGGGGAGCAAACAGG